This 468-nucleotide ribosomal RNA is filed under the name uncultured bacterium. RNAcentral describes it as "partial 16S ribosomal RNA". It matches the Rfam family "Bacterial small subunit ribosomal RNA", at positions 28 to 507 of the family's 1533-position model. The record is from RNAcentral.
GACGAACGCUGGCGGCGUGCUUAACACAUGCAAGUCGAACGGAAAGGCCCUGCAUUGGUGUGGUGCUCGAGUGGCGAACGGGUGAGUAACACGUGAGUAACCUGCCCUUGACUAUGGGAUAACUUCAGGAAACUGGGGCUAAUACCGGAUAGGAGCUCCUGCUGCAUGGUGGGGGUUGGAAAGUUUAGGCGGUGGGGGAUGGACUCGCGGCUUAUCAGCUUGUGGGUGGGGUAGUGGCUUACCAAGGCUUUGACGGGUAGCCGGCCUGAGAGGGUGACCGGCCACAUUGGGACUGAGAUACGGCCCAGACUCCUACGGGAGGCAGCAGUGGGGAAUAUUGCCCAAUGAGCGGGAGCCUGAUGCAGCAGCGCCGCGUGCGGGAUGACGGCCUUCGGGUUGUAAACCGCUUUCGCCUGUGACGAAGCGUGAGUGACGGUAAUGGAUAAAGAAGCACCGGCUAACUACGUG